RNAcentral lists this ribosomal RNA (1590 nucleotides) under Streptomyces abyssalis. RNAcentral's name for it is "bacterial LSU rRNA". It matches the Rfam family "Bacterial large subunit ribosomal RNA", at positions 1 to 1494 of the family's 2925-position model. The record is from RNAcentral. Lineage: Bacteria; Bacillati; Actinomycetota; Actinomycetes; Kitasatosporales; Streptomycetaceae.
ACAGUGGACGCGAGCAUCUGUGGCCAAGUUUUUAAGGGCGCACGGUGGAUGCCUUGGCACCAGGAACCGAUGAAGGACGUGGGAGGCCGCGAUAGGCCCCGGGGAGUUGUCAACCGAGCUGUGAUCCGGGGGUGUCCGAAUGGGGAAACCCGGCAGUCGUCAUGGGCUGUCACCCGCAUCUGAAUGUAUAGGGUGUGUGGAGGGAACGCGGGGAAGUGAAACAUCUCAGUACCCGCAGGAAGAGAAAACAACUGUGAUUCCGGGAGUAGUGGCGAGCGAAACUGGAUGAGGCUAAACCGUAUGUGUGUGAGACCCGGCAGGGGUUGCAUGUACGGGGUUGUGGGAGUUCUCUUGUCCGGUCUGCCGGCCGGUCGGCGAGUCAGAAAUUGUUGAUGUAGGCGAAGGGUAUGCGAAAGGCCCGGCGUAGAGGGUAAGACCCCCGUAGCUGAAAUGUCAGCAACUUGUUUGAGGACCACCCGAGUAGCAUGGGGCCCGAGAAAUCCUGUGUGAAUCUGGCGGGACCACCCGUCAAGCCUAAAUAUUCCCUGGUGACCGAUAGCGGAUAGUACCGUGAGGGAAUGGUGAAAAGUACCGCGGGAGCGGAGUGAAAGAGUACCUGAAACCGUGUGCCUACAAGCCGUGGGAGCGUCGCGUGCCAAGCUUGCUUGGUGCGUCGUGACUGCGUGCCUUUUGAAGAAUGAGCCUGCGAGUUUGCGGCAUGUUGCGAGGUUAACCCGUGUGGGGGAGCCGUAGCGAAAGCGAGUCCGAAGAGGGCGGUCUGAGUAGCGUGUUCAAGACCCGAAGCGGAGUGAUCUAGCCAUGGGCAGGGUGAAGCGGAGGUAAGACUUCGUGGAGGCCCGAACCCACCAGGGUUGAAAACCUGGGGGAUGACCUGUGGUUAGGGGUGAAAGGCCAAUCAAACUCCGUGAUAGCUGGUUCUCCCCGAAAUGCAUUUAGGUGCAGCGUCGUGUGUUUCUUGCCGGAGGUAGAGCACUGGAUAGGCGAUGGGCCCUACCGGGUUACUGACCUUAGCCAAACUCCGAAUGCCGGUAAGUGAGAGCGCGGCAGUGAGACUGUGGGGGAUAAGCUCCAUGGUCGAGAGGGAAACAGCCCAGAGCAUCGACUAAGGCCCCUAAGCGUGUGCUAAGUGGGAAAGGAUGUGGAGUCGCAGAGACAACCAGGAGGUUGGCUUAGAAGCAGCCAUCCUUGAAAGAGUGCGUAAUAGCUCACUGGUCAAGUGAUUCCGCGCCGACAAUGUAGCGGGGCUCAAGCACACCGCCGACGUCGUGUCACUCCAACGUGAAGGGCUAACGCCUGUUGGGGUGGGUAGGGGAGCGUCGUGUGCCGGGUGAAGCAGCACCGGAAGGUAGUUGUGGACGGUAUGCGAGUGAGAAUGCAGGCAUGAGUAGCGAUACAUGCGUGAGAAACGUGUGCGCCGAUUGACUAAGGGUUCCUGGGUCAAGCUGAUCUGCCCAGGGUAAGUCGGGUCCUAAGGCGAGGCCGACAGGCGUAGUCGAUGGAUAACCGGUUGAUAUUCCGGUACCCGUGGCAGUGCGCCAGCGCUGAAUCAGGUGAUGCUAAGCCCGUGAA